UUCUUUUUCCUUUUAGGAAGCCUCUGUCUCAGGUUGUGGCGACGACUUGCUUUCACAAAGGUUCCAUUUCAGGAUUGUGAGAUUGGAUUGUGAGGAUUGUUUUUGGAGAUGGACAGACGUUUGGUUUCUGGGGCUUCACAUGUACAUAGUUCUUUCUGGAUUGACGGGGUUUGUGAGCGUUGGUUCCGGUGAAGUCAGCUAUUCACCAAGUUUCAUGAGUGUUUGAUGGACUGUAGUCGGUGUAGACAGACAAGGCUAUGCACCAAGUUUCAUGAGUGUUUGAUUGACUGUAGUGUGUGUGCCCAAAGACUUGAUUGGAACUGAAGAGCGCAGACAAGGCUAUGCACCAAGAGCUGAUUGGACUGAAGAGAGCAGAUAAGGCCAGUUCAUCGGCAGCUGCCAGGGGCUCUCUUCU
This is a long non-coding RNA of Limanda limanda (common dab), 415 nucleotides long. RefSeq lists it as uncharacterized. NCBI's taxonomy places the organism in Eukaryota, Metazoa, Chordata, Actinopteri, Pleuronectiformes, Pleuronectidae. The transcript is spliced from 6 exons. The record is from RefSeq and is a predicted model, not a curated record.